UAAAUAGAGCUUUUGCUCGUGAACCAAAUAUGGUGGGCUGGGUUGUCUUUGCGGAAACGCUUAGCUGACUUGUCUACGAAUUGUAAUCAUAAUAUGGGCGACGGUGAAUCCUUUGCAGACGACUUGAAUGGGAACGGGGUACUGUAAGUGGUAGAGUAGCCUUGUUGCUACGAUCCACUGAGGUUAAGCCCUUGUUCUAAAGAUUUGU
RNAcentral lists this ribosomal RNA (208 nucleotides) under Armillaria mellea. RNAcentral's name for it is "partial 28S ribosomal RNA". It matches the Rfam family "Eukaryotic large subunit ribosomal RNA", at positions 3193 to 3401 of the family's 3401-position model. Lineage: Eukaryota; Fungi; Basidiomycota; Agaricomycetes; Agaricales; Physalacriaceae. The record is from RNAcentral.